This 561-nucleotide ribosomal RNA is filed under the name uncultured Glomeromycotina. RNAcentral describes it as "SSU rRNA". It matches the Rfam family "Eukaryotic small subunit ribosomal RNA", at positions 548 to 1114 of the family's 1831-position model. The record is from RNAcentral. Lineage: Eukaryota; Fungi; Glomeromycota.
UUGGAGGGCAAGUCUGGUGCCAGCAGCCGCGGUAAUUCCAGCUCCAAUAGCGUAUAUUAAAGUUGUUGCAGUUAAAAAGCUCGUAGUUGAAUUUCGGGAUCAAUAUGCUGGUCGUGCCUUUGGUACGUACUGGUAUUAUUGGUUUCUCCUUUCUGAUGAAUCAUGAUGUCAUUAAUUUGGUGUCAUGGGGAAUCAGGACUGUUACUUUGAAAAAAUUAGAGUGUUAAAAGCAGGCUUACGCUUGAAUACAUUAGCAUGGAAUAAUGAAAUAGGACGUUUAAUUCUAUUUUGUUGGUUUCUAGGAUUGACGUAAUGAUUAAUAGGGAUAGUUGGGGGCAUUAGUAUUCAAUUGUCAGAGGUGAAAUUCUUGGAUUUAUUGAAGACUAACUACUGCGAAAGCAUUUGCCAAGGAUGUUUUCAUUAAUCAAGAACGAAAGUUAGGGGAUCGAAGACGAUCAGAUACCGUCGUAGUCUUAACCAUAAACUAUGCCGACUAGGGAUCGGAUGAUGUUAAUUUAUGACUCAUUCGGCGCCUUACGGGAAACCAAAGUGUUUGGGUUC